UGGAGAGAAGCUCCUAGGAGUCAUGGCCUGGAUCAUGCCCAUUUCUGUUGCCCUGUCCACAUUUGGAGGAGUUAAUGGGUCUCUCUUCACCUCCUCUCGGCUGUUCUUCGCUGGAGCCCGAGAGGGCCACCUUCCCAGUGUGUUGGCCAUGAUCCACGUGAAGCGCUGCACCCCAAUCCCAGCCCUGCUCUUCACAUGCAUCUCCACCCUGCUGAUGCUGGUCACCAGCGACAUGUACACACUCAUCAACUACGUGGGCUUCAUCAACUACCUCUUCUAUGGGGUCACGGUUGCCGGACAGAUAGUCCUUCGCUGGAAGAAGCCUGAUAUCCCCCGCCCCAUCAAGGUGAGAGAACCUCCCUUUGGGGUCCCCUCCCCUUCCUCUAUGGUUCUAGCUGCAGUUCAGAUUUUUAAAUCACCUCUGUUCUUAGCUGCUGACCACACAUCAUCAUCUCUGAUGGUAGCAGACCCUUUGGAAAGCAAGGGCCAUUUGUGAAUGGGACCACUAUUUCCAUUCUCCACUGGGGAUGAGAUCGGAGCAGACUGCAGCUGGGGAAUAAGUCAGAUCAAAUGUGACUUUCAUCAUGACAUUCCUUUGUUUCCUACCAGUCUAAGCCUUAAACUCCAGCUGACUUUUCAAGGUUCUCUUAUCUCCCCAACACUUCCUCCUUGUCCCUCCAGAUAGCUGGGCUCACUAUGUGCUAUGUCUCCAUCCCAGAAUGACUUUUCUCCUCCC
Molecule: small RNA, 736 nt
Filed under: Pan troglodytes (chimpanzee)
Lineage: Eukaryota; Metazoa; Chordata; Mammalia; Primates; Hominidae
Description: retained intron
Source: RNAcentral